AUUGAACGCUGGCGGCAUGCCUUACACAUGCAAGUCGAACGGCAGCACGGGUGCUUGCACCUGGUGGCGAGUGGCGAACGGGUGAGUAAUAUAUCGGAACGUACCUUAUCGUGGGGGAUAACGCAGCGAAAGCUGCGCUAAUACCGCAUACGCCCUGAGGGGGAAAGCGGGGGGACCGUAAGGCCUCGCGCGAUUAGAGCGGCCGAUAUCUGAUUAGCUUGUUGGUGGGGUAAAGCCCACCAAGGCGACGAUCAGUAGCUGGUCUGAGAGGACGAUCAGCCACACUGGGACUGAGACACGGCCCAGACUCCUACGGGAGGCAGCAGUGGGGAAUUUUGGACAAUGGGGGCAACCCUGAUCCAGCAAUGCCGCGUGAGUGAAGAAGGCCUCGGGUUGUAAAGGCUCUUUGUUCUAGGGAAGAAACAGCAGCUCUAACACAGUCUGCGAAUGACGGUACCUGAAGAAUAAGCACCGGCUAACUACGUGCCAG
Molecule: ribosomal RNA, 490 nt
Filed under: uncultured bacterium
Lineage: Bacteria
Description: bacterial SSU rRNA
Rfam family: Bacterial small subunit ribosomal RNA
Source: RNAcentral